Non-coding RNA from Nicotiana tabacum (common tobacco), 227 nucleotides. The record is from RefSeq and is a predicted model, not a curated record. NCBI's taxonomy places the organism in Eukaryota, Viridiplantae, Streptophyta, Magnoliopsida, Solanales, Solanaceae.
UUCAUAUAUGUUUUUCAUAUAUAGAGUGAACUUCCACUUGUUGGAAAUCAAGCGCCAGACUUUGAGGCUGAAGCUGUUUUUGAUCAAGAAUUCAUCAAGGUUAAACUAUCUGAGUACAUUGGGAAGAAGUACGUCAUUCUCUUUUUCUACCCACUAGACUUUACAUUUGUUUGCCCAACAGAGAUCACUGCUUUCAGUGACCGUUAUGGAGAAUUUGAAAAGUUGAA